Molecule: ribosomal RNA, 680 nt
Filed under: Microbacterium sp. M72C12A
Lineage: Bacteria; Bacillati; Actinomycetota; Actinomycetes; Micrococcales; Microbacteriaceae
Description: bacterial SSU rRNA
Rfam family: Bacterial small subunit ribosomal RNA
Source: RNAcentral
UGCAGUCGAACGGUGAAGCCCCGCUUGCGGGGUGGAUCAGUGGCGAACGGGUGAGUAACACGUGAGCAACCUGCCCCUGACUCUGGGAUAAGCGCUGGAAACGGCGUCUAAUACUGGAUACGAGACGUGAUCGCAUGGUCAACGUUUGGAAAGAUUUUUCGGUUGGGGAUGGGCUCGCGGCCUAUCAGCUUGUUGGUGAGGUAAUGGCUCACCAAGGCGUCGACGGGUAGCCGGCCUGAGAGGGUGACCGGCCACACUGGGACUGAGACACGGCCCAGACUCCUACGGGAGGCAGCAGUGGGGAAUAUUGCACAAUGGGCGCAAGCCUGAUGCAGCAACGCCGCGUGAGGGAUGACGGCCUUCGGGUUGUAAACCUCUUUUAGCAGGGAAGAAGCGAGAGUGACGGUACCUGCAGAAAAAGCACCGGCUAACUACGUGCCAGCAGCCGCGGUAAUACGUAGGGUGCAAGCGUUAUCCGGAAUUAUUGGGCGUAAAGAGCUCGUAGGCGGUUUGUCGCGUCUGCUGUGAAAUCUGGGGGCUCAACCCCCAGCCUGCAGUGGGUACGGGCAGACUAGAGUGCGGUAGGGGAGAUUGGAAUUCCUGGUGUAGCGGUGGAAUGCGCAGAUAUCAGGAGGAACACCGAUGGCGAAGGCAGAUCUCUGGGCCGUAACUGACGCUGA